UCGGGAAUUUUGGGCAAUGGGCGAAAGCCUGACCCAGCAACGCCGCGUGAAGGAUGAAGUAUUUCGGUAUGUAAACUUCGAAAGAAUAGGAAGAAUAAAUGACGGUACUAUUUAUAAGGUCCGGCUAACUACGUGCCAGCAGCCGCGGUAAUACGUAGGGACCAAGCGUUGUUCGGAUUUACUGGGCGUAAAGGGCGCGUAGGCGGCGUGGUAAGUCAUCUGUGAAAUCUCCGAGCUUAACUCGGAACGGUCAGAUGAUACUGCUGUGCUAGAGUACAGAAGGGGCAAUCGGAAUUCUUGGUGUAGCGGUGAAAUGCGUAGAUAUCAAGAGGAACACCUGAGGUGAAGACGGGUUGCUGGGCUGAUACUGACGCUGAGGCGCGAAAGCUAGGGUAGCAAACGGGAUUAGAUACCCCAGUAGUCCCUGAGCGGGCUGGCAAGGCGCAU
RNAcentral lists this ribosomal RNA (447 nucleotides) under uncultured bacterium. Its description in RNAcentral is "bacterial SSU rRNA". It matches the Rfam family "Bacterial small subunit ribosomal RNA", at positions 355 to 825 of the family's 1533-position model. The record is from RNAcentral.